CCGGCUCAUGCCGAGGGCAGGCACCUCUGUCAGCCUCUUCGCAGUGGUAGUUAUUGUGUGUGGCGUGGCCCUGGUGGCAGUUUUUCUCUUUCUCUUUUGGAAGCUGUGCUGGAUGCCCUGGAGGAACAAGGAGGCCUCCAGUCCUUCCGCUAACGCCCCAUUGGAGGCCCUCCCGAGCCCCAGCUCCAGAGGCAACAUGGCAGACAAGCUGAAGGACCCAAACACCCUGGGCUUCCUGGAGGCGGCCGUGAAGAUCAGCCACACAUCCCCAGAUAUCCCAGCCGAGGUGCAGAUGUCAGUGAAGGAGCACAUCAUGCGUCACACACGGCUGCAGCGACAGACCACAGAGCCGGCGUCAUCUACCAGGCACACAUCCUUCAAGCGCCACCUGCCGCGGCAAAUGCACGUCUCCAGCGUAGACUAUGGCAACGAGCUGCCGCCAGCGGCAGAGCAGCCCACCAGCAUUGGCCGCAUCAAGCCUGAGCUCUACAAGCAGAAGUCGGUGGAUGGCGAUGACGCCAAGUCUGAGGCCGCCAAGAGCUGCGGGAAGCUCAACUUUAGCCUACGCUAUGACUAUGAGAGCGAGACCCUGAUCGUGCGCAUCCUGAAGGCCUUUGACCUCCCUGCCAAGGACUUUUGUGGAAGCUCUGACCCUUAUGUCAAGAUCUACCUCCUGCCCGACCGCAAGUGCAAGCUGCAGACCCGGGUGCACCGCAAGACCCUGAACCCCACCUUCGACGAGAACUUCCACUUCCCUGUGCCCUAUGAGGAGCUGGCUGACCGCAAGCUGCACCUCAGUGUCUUUGACUUCGACCGCUUCUCACGCCAUGAUAUGAUUGGGGAGGUCAUCCUGGACAACCUCUUCGAGGCCUCUGACCUGUCCCGGGAAACCUCCAUCUGGAAGGACAUCCAGUACGCCACGAGUGAGAGCGUGGACCUGGGAGAGAUCAUGUUCUCCCUGUGCUACCUGCCCACAGCGGGCAGGCUCACGCUCACGGUGAUUAAAUGUCGGAACCUCAAGGCCAUGGACAUCACAGGCUACUCAGAUCCCUACGUCAAAGUGUCCCUGCUUUGUGACGGGCGGAGGCUGAAGAAGAAGAAAACAACCAUAAAGAAGAACACCCUCAAUCCUGUCUACAAUGAGGCCAUCAUCUUUGACAUUCCUCCAGAAAACAUGGAUCAAGUCAGCUUGCUCAUCUCGGUUAUGGAUUAUGACCGAGUGGGCCACAAUGAAAUCAUAGGAGUCUGUCGUGUGGGGAUCAAUGCUGAAGGCCUGGGCAGAGACCACUGGAAUGAGAUGCUGGCCUACCCACGGAAGCCCAUCGCACACUGGCACUCCUUAGUGGAGGUAAAGAAGUCCUUCAAAGAGUGGCAAGGCCGAGCUGCCAGCUUUGACAGCGAGAGCUCGUGCCCGUCUCCGAAACCACCUCCGACGCCAUGAGCCGCACGGCCGAGCCACACCCACGGGACUCAGCAAUGCUCCUUUCGCACUCGUUCCACCGUCUACACGCAGUGUUGUGCAGUCACAGCGGCCCCCGCAGCCGUCUGUCACGCCAGAGUCCUAACUGCUCCUGUGUAGGUCAAGGCCGAGACACUUGUUGCGUGGUCAGAUCUGUCUUAGUCUUUUCCGUCUCCUAAGGUGAUGUUUUUGUGGUUUUCACUUUUUAUGGGUCUGCUGUCAAGAAGAAAAAAAAAAAAAAAAAAAGAGUAGGGGAAAAAAAAAAAAAGCAAAGGGUGGAGAGCCCAGAAGUUGGUUCUAUAAAAUAUAAAAUAGCAGUUUCUUCAGAAGAGGCAGAUUGCAUUUCUGAAAUGCUGUGUCUUUACCAAGCUCUCCCGGAGAAGGAGGAAAUGCAGGAGAGCAAUGACUGCAGUUUGAGUGCCUGCAUGAAUGGAGCAGGUCCAUCAAGAGCCUUUCUAAGGCUCACUGUUACUCUGUGAAGCUCUUUGCUGGUGUGACAUAAACCACGAUGUGGACUCCUGGUCCCGUGUUGAAACCACAAGACAGCCAAGGUGUUUGUGAACCUUCAGCUGGUGUGCAGGGCUCCUGGUUCCCUUUCGUGUUGACUUUCCUCAUGAAUUGAAAGUGUCUUGAUUCCUCAUGGGAACUUAGUCACUUUCUCUAGGAGUGAUUCUGCUGAAACCGAACAUGCCAAAUGUUUUCUGACGCGCCACAGUUAAUGAUCAUGUUUGUUUGAAAACAGGAUCUUUGUUCUCGAAAAUAACCUCCAUUGUCAAGAAAGAGAGGCACAUGUGUUCCAGGAUGAUUUGUGCAUUCUACGUAGCUUUGUAAUUCCGGGAAGUAACAAGCAGCUGUUUAAAAUGCCUAACCAGGUCAAAGAAAAACCUAGAUGAAAUGUUCUUCUCUGAAUGGGGAGUUCUGAAGUUCAAAUCACAGCCCGAGUCCAUCUUUCCAUACAGAGUAACUUCUUGAUUGAAACCAAGUCAGCUUAGGCCCAUUUCAGCCCUAGACGCUGGGACAAUUGUCGUCUUAAACUUUAGUCCUGUCAAUGACUAGGUACUCUCGUGUCGUUUGUCUCCGUGGUAGUGAGGGGUUUUUGUUUUGUUUUCCUUUAGAUCUCUCCCUUAGACCAAAUUCAACUUAGGAAGAAAAAAAAAAAAGUGCUUGAACUGUUCCUUAUGAUCACGGCACACUUCUGUGGAGGUAAUAGCGGCCCUCCCGUCACCCCCUGUAGGUAGGUUGCUUUGCUGGGUCUUAGUCUGUACAGCCCUGGUAAGUGCGUGCAGGUGAGUUUCCGCUUCCACUUGUGACUCCGCAGGCCAAUGUCCAGAGCUGUGUGUACCACUGGCAAGAGGCAAGUCUGCCGAAGAACUCCUCCUCUCUGCAUUGGAAGGCCAAGAACAUACACACUGUCACACGCUUGGUGUCUUCUUCAUGCGUCACGUGCGAUAGGAGCAGUAUCUCAAUAAAGGAGCCCCAUUUUAAGUCACAUGAUCAGGUUUCUCCACUGAUAAAACUUUGGGCGAUGUCUUCAGGCCCUCAGAAUGAUCACUGCGCAUGAGCUUACAGGAGAUUGUGCCAAAAGAAAUUUUCCACUUAGAAAAGUAAACAUAGAUAAACCGCAGGCUUGACUCUGUACUAAGCCUUAGGCUUGGGACUAAUGUGUAAAGGUACCUUUUCUCCCCAGAUGUCUUGUGAUUGAUAGGUCUUCCUACACCUACAGUCCUGCAUUUAGAUGUUCUCUUGAGACUGAGAAAAACUCAAGGUCCUGACCAGACUCGCAGCAGGACAGACCUCGCUAUGUUUCUUGACUGGAGCCUGACCUCAUCGGGAUGGCUCUCUCCAUCACAGAGAGACGCAGUGGGUCUCACACCUGUGAAGGGAACAGCUGAGUCUCCUGGGUCGCAAGGAGCCCAGAAAUGAGCGUGAGCAGGUCUUUGCAGAAGUGAGCACCAAAUGCAUGUCCAGCGGCCGUUGGUGAGUCCCUAGGCAAGUAGAGAUAACCUAUCCUAGCCUAUUGGAGAAGGGAGAGUGACCAGUGUGAACGGUAAAAUAUUACUGCCGGUCUGAGAGAUUCCUCUUAUAUCAAGCAGCUAGCUCACACAAGUGAACACCUCAGUGGUUUCAAAAAAUCAUUUUCUGAACAGAUGAUGACCAGCCCCCAUGACCCCCUAACCAUGGCUCCCACUCCUGCUCCAGCAGUUUCCAUAAAUCCCUGCAGGUUUGGGGCCCCACUGCAAGAAGGCUCUGAGCUCCCAGGGCCUCACCCACAGGAUCCUCAGAGGAGACGAGUCCUCAGCCUGAAGCAUGAGUGACAUCUGAAUAUCCCCCAACUUCAUUAUCUAACCCAGAAUCUCUCCUUCACAGAUGAGAAUAAAAUGAAAUACAAGUUUUGGAAUAAAGUGAAAUACCACGUUGAUUCAUUUGUUGGCUUCCUUUGGCACAUGAAGCCUCUUGGGUGGUUGUUGAGAGCUUUGCUGAAGUUGCAAUAACCAGAGCCAUUUGCACAUAGACUUUAAAAAAAAAAAAAAUGAAGUUCCCUUCUCCUUUAUUUAGCAGUGUUUCUGAGCUAAAAAGAUGUCCCCUUCCCCUCUGCGCUUACCCAGGAUGUUAAUUAAUUGCAUCGUCAUUUUAAAAAUUAUGUUGUUAAUUACUGCUCUGUGUCUUCCCGCCCCUGUCACAGCCUGGAGUUUUUAUUCAAUUAAAUCUCUGUCUCU
Molecule: RNA transcript, 4176 nt
Organism: Tupaia belangeri chinensis (Chinese tree shrew)
Lineage: Eukaryota; Metazoa; Chordata; Mammalia; Scandentia; Tupaiidae
Gene: SYT6
Gene name: synaptotagmin 6
Exons: 7
Source: RefSeq, a predicted model, not a curated record